CAGGCCUUCCUGACAUUGUCCCCCAGAACCCACAGCCAGGCCUUCCUGACACUGUCCCCCUGAACCCACGGCCAGGCCUUCCUGACACUGUCCUCCCGAACCCACACCCAGACUGGGGCUGUGGCAGCUCUUGCCACCCACCCUGAGCACAUCCCUGUCCGAGUGGGGGGCUCAUAGCGUGCCCCAAUUUCUGUGUCCCUGAGGGUUGUCCCCAUAAAAAUCCUCUUUUCCCAGAUCAUAAGGCCACAUCGUAAAGAACACAAACAUAGAAUAAAUACCAUGUAAAUUGGUCACAUAAAAAAUAUUGAAGAGAAUAUUUUAACUAUAACCAUUUUAACUAUAAAAAAUAACCAUUUUAUUAUAAAUAAUUUAACUAUAAAAAUGUCUAUUGGGAUUUAUGGGUGAUCGUGGCCUCUCCCGGCUCCUGGUUCAGAGCCAGGAGAGACAGAGGCGAGAGUCCCGUGGGGGCCAGGGACAUGCCAGUGUCUCCGCGUGGGCUGCAGUGGAGAAGCCACUUGGCCACAGACGUGGACAGGUGUCCCUAGAUGAGAAAGCCGACCCUGGUGAGGCUGAGGGGCCGCCUUGAGCUCUGCCCGUCCUCGGAGAAGGAAAGUUCUCUUCCAGCCUCUGCGCCCCAGCAGCUCCCGGCCCACCCGCCCCAGCUCCGCGCCUGUGACGUCCCCUCCCGACACGCAACCUAAGCAGGUGGGCGUGAGUGCUGUGACGGGAGGACACGUAUGUCCCCAUAAGUGCAGACACAAGCCUGACCCGGCUGCAGGGGCCACUCCGAGGCAGACCCUGCAGUAGCUCCCCCUACCCUGGGCCGUGGGGACAGGAAGGAGCGAGCGUUUCGCUCCCAGGACAAGUGUCGAUCCCGAGAUUACUGCAGGAUCAGAUGAGUUAAUUAAAAGCAGCACAGCGGGCGCCUCUGCUGCCGCUGUCUCCCACCAAGAACACGACACUGAGGUGAUCAAGAUCCUGGAAGCGCUUUGGAAUUACUCUCUGAAAAUGAGACUGCUCAGACGGAAUGACAAUUAAAUGAAUGACAACAGCGCAGACAACCCCCAGACGUCACCUUGGCUCUCGGCCUCCUUCCGUGAGCUGCACAUUCAGAGUGCCGGGUGUCUCCAGGAACAGAUUCGUGGGCCUUCCUGGCUGGGACCCCAGGCGGAGUGGGCGGCGCUGGGCUGGAGGAGCGGAGGCCAUGAGGGGCUGAGCUCCCAGCUGAUGGCCUUGGUGGCCAGAGAGGCCUGUCCCAACCCGGAAGGGCAUCACAGCGUUGUUGGAAAUUGCUCUCGCCAUCUCUGGAAUGAAUUCUUCCCUGCAGUUCAGACCCAGCGUUGUGACUUGGGUUUCAACCCAGGACGCUCUUGGCCACUCAAGUGUCUCAGCAUUGAUGGACGCCCAGAGACGCCGUCUCAUAUGUCGAUGCUGAAGGAGAAAUGGCAGCAGGUCCCCAAGCGGCAGGAAAUGGUCCAUUUUAAGAACAAUUUGUAAGUGACACGUAGUUUUUAUUUCAAUUGUCUGCUGAGCCUGUGAAGUGCGGGCAGAGCCAGUUCUGUGGCAUCGGCAUCUGUAAUGGCUCAGGGAGGCCGAGGACCGUCCUGGGCAGUGACACUGAGGCCGGGGGGCAGGCCCUGGGCCUGCUGCCGUACGCUGCUGCCUUUAGUCUCCCACGGGACCAGGAUGGCAAGUCACGCUGUCACAUAAUUGCACUCCAGCGCGGAGACUCGAGGAUGCCAUCGACCAAUUCAAGCUCCAGCUGACACGUAAUCGAUAGGCCAGGAGCAACCCGGAACCGCAGGCGCAGGGGACAGACCGUGAGAGCCGUGGCUCCUGGCUGGGCAGCUUUGCCCCCAGAGGACAUUCGGAAGUGUCUGGAGAUACUUGUGGCUGUCACAGCUGGGGGGGGGCUGCUCCUGGCGUCUGGUGGGCGGAGGCCAAGGACGCUGCCACACCACCUGCAGUGCACAGGAUGGUCCCCACGGCAGGCUUGUGCUGCCCAGAGUGUCCGCAGUGCUGAGGGCGAGAAGCUCUGCUUACAGCCAUGGUGACGUUUCGCUCCAUCGUCCGGACGUCUCCAGGGACGUACACAGCCGGACGUCUGGCUUCUCAUCCACGCGUCACUGCAGAGCCGCGGCCACAGGAGCCCUGUUAUCCUGUCUCCUCUCCUCCACCACAGUCCUCUCAGGCAAGCCCGAGUGAACCAGCCAGCCAUCCAGAAAACCAUCCAGAAAGCAAAGAGAACUGUCCUCAGCUGCGUCACCUCCUGACAUGUUGGGGCCAGCCAGGCCACCAGCGGGGGCUUCACACGAGCUCCUGGACUCGGCUGUGAUCAGACACUGGCCCUGUCCCCACAGUGGCCACUCUGCCUUGUUAUGUGGUCCUGAGCCCUGGGCCCAGCCCCCGCCCUGCCUGCGGUGACUUCAGGGUCACUCUCUGAAUGUGUUCCCUGUGGCCUGUGUCCCAGACCCUGUAAUUAAGCUCCUGUCUCCCUCCCCCCUCCCAGCUGGGGUCGCACAAAGGGUUUGAUUGUUCCGCAGGGUCUGGCUCAGACCUGCCCUGGCCUUCGUUUCUGCAGUCGCCCACCGCAGGCUUUGGGUCAGAGGUCAUUCCCGAGCACCACGGGCCCCGAAGUGAACUGGGGCUCCCUGAGCCACCCCGAAUUGCUGUGUGACUCCAGCACGUGCACAGGAAGCCCUGGCCCUGUGGACCCGAAUGCAGCCCAGAAGAGGCCCAGAUGUAGCGUGGACGGUGACAUGGUGACAUCCCAUCUCACACAGCAGGAAAGAGGAAACACCCCGUCUUGAUUAAGCAAGUCCUUAUCUCCCCCAAGUCUGAGGGGACACGGAGUCUUCACUGACCGUGUCAGGCUCUUUCUGAGGAGGGAAGGGAACAUCCCCAAGAGACGGUGACUUGGACCUUCACUUUUGCUGAGAUUUGAAAUUCUCUUCUUCUCAAUCUUUAAAUCUGCUGGUGCCAAAGUCUGCUCUGUACCCAGCCGUUCCUGUGACCUCGGGCAAGUUCCUCAACUUGUGCCUCUUCCUCUGCAAAGAGGGAAUAAUGACAGUACCGGCUCCCGUGCUGGUCAGAACCGCAUGAGACGACGCACGAAGACCCGUCGGCCCGGAGAGCCACAGCGUGAGCCGUGACGACAGUGUGGUCCCCACUCUGGGGGCAAGUUUGUUCCCAAACCGAGUCCACGGGUGGGGGACGGAAACCACCUGAGCUGAAAGGAGGACACAGCCAAGUCCUGAGGCCCCGCCAGGGUCUCCUUAGGCCGAGGACGUAGACAAGGAGGCUGCUAUGGGACUGCAGGGAGCGGCACGGCCGUCACCGUUGCUGCGGGGACCCGCACCUGCUUCUCUGCAGCCGCAGGUCACCUGCCAGGAGCCGCUGCUGAAAGGCCAGGUCACCCCUGAGCGAGGCCACCGCAGCCUGACCCCGGACAGCCAAUUUGCUGACACGGUGGAACUCACACCCUGAGCAGGGUCUGGAGAGUUCAGGGGAUGUGGCUGUCGCCAGAGUGGGGGUGGCACAGGAAGCCACGGGCUGGGAGAGCGGAAAAGUGGCCUGACGUGGGAAAUGUCAGAAGACUGCCUGAAUUAAGCAUUUUUACAUCAGUGUUUACGGCGUAGCCUUUUGUCGGUUUUUCCCCUCAUCCACCCCCGUCUCGCCCUCCGCACACUGUAAACCGUCUCCAGGCUGCGGGUCCUCGCCCAGCCCGUGUGGGACCUCAGUGAGGCGGGACGUCAGGACUCCGUGUGACGGGCACGGCCCAGCUCCCGUUUGUGCAAAGUGACACGUCUCAGCUCCGCUGCGGGAAGAGGAGCCUCCCAGGCUUGUCGGGGAACAGUCACAGAGUCUACUGUGAAAACGAAGCGCCCCAACCCCUUUCCUAUGCUGCACCCCAAACCUCACGACGUUUUCCAUCUCUCUGGAAGAGCCCUGGACUCGGGGUGUUUAACAACUAAAACGUUAUUUUUCAUUUUCUGAGAUUCUGCUCGUGGAAUCAGGCAGCCUCUCAGUGUGCCGCGCCUAAGCUGGUUCCUGAUGAGGGUCUGGGGGACCCUGCAUGUCCCAGGUUCCUCUGUCACAGGAGCCCAGGGACUCUGCAGGACCAAACUCUCACCGGAGGAUCCGCUGGAUACGGGGACCCGCCUGGGGCGGGUGAGUCUGCCCAGUGAGGCUGGCUCUGGGCUAAGCCCGGCUGGCAGGGGGCAGGACCGAGGCCUGAAGGGGAGCGGGAGGGAAAGCGGGUCCAGGACGCCCCCCCUUGUGCCCUGGGCUUUCCCCAGCCCUCUGCCUCUCCCUCGGGCUGGCUGAAGCCCCUCCUGAGAGCUCCCCGCUGGGCGAGUCCAGCAAGCCUGGGGCAGGCCCGGUGACCUCGGCGUGGGUGGAGUUCUAGAAACCCGCCCUGGCUCCUGCAGUCCACAUUCGCCCUCCACGCCUUGUAGGGCGUCCCUCCGCUCUGCUUGUCUCACUAACCCGGCGCUGGGACCGUCCCUGGUUCUGUGCAUUAGACCAGCUCAGGGGACGCUCCCUCCAAGCUGCGGUGCUCUCGGCGAUAGGAUGCCCUGAGACCCCCGUGUGACAGCGCAGAGUGACAUUAAUGCAUGAAAUUAGCAGCCUCAGCAGCAUUAAUGCGUCUGCUGGUGGAGACUGAGGCUUGUUUGGUGAAAGGGAUCAUUAGAUGUUUGCAAACAUCCCACACGCUGCGGCAAGGCCUGGGCGCUGACAAAUGAUAAAUGAGAAAAUUAGAGGCUUCAGGAAAAUGUAAAUAUCAUCCUUUGUAAGUCUGUCCUUUGGCAGAAAAAAAGAAUGUUUCCCCAGAGCGAUGGGGCAUUCCUCAUCUCUUUAAACACCAGGGAAAAUGGCUGUGACUGUGUCACACACUUUUACACAUCUUGAUUUGUCUUCUAGGUUCCUACCAAGGCCUGGGCAAGAUGUGGGAGAAAAGGCUGUAAUUUCAACUGAUCUUCCCCUAAUUCAGUGUUUCUCUAUUUUUAUUGCAUUUCACCCCUAAGCAACCUUUUUAGACAUUUCUUUUACUCGCUUCCCCCAGUGAAGUUCUAAUAACACAGAAACGCUGUACGAUGGUUUAUGCACUCUACGCACAUCUGUACUUUUGCACAAAGAAAGUUCUUUUGUGUUUUACAUAAAGAGAAUAAAAUCUUUUUCUACCAAAACCAGCUUCCACCCCUUGGGAACAGAGCAGAAUCACCCACUGAGAAUGAUGUUCUGGUUCCUUCUUUUGUUCAUCUGUUCAAACGUGCAGCAAACGUGCACCCGGUGCCAACUCUGGGCCCGAGAUGUGCUGGGCCCUGGGGCUGCCACCAAGAGCAGAGCCGGCAACCCCGGUCCUCAUGGAUCUGACAUUGUUGCAGGGACGACAGACACAGGGAUCACAGGUGAACAUGUCCCACAUCCAAUACAGACCAAUGCUGUUGAGAACAGGAGACGGGGGUCUGGGGUGCUGCAGGAAACAGAGGUGGCCAGAGAAGGCCUGGAAGAGCUGAAAGGAGCUGAAGGGAUGAGUCUGAGAUGCCGCAAGGAGCCCCGCGUGGCUGGAGCCGAGGGGUCGUGGAGGGAGAUGUGGCCACAGAGGUGAUGGAGACAGCAGGGUGGAGGAGACGAUCAUCUCAGGCCUUGGGGACCCUGUGAAGACUUCAGAUUUUACUCUGAGGGAAGUGGGAGCCAUUGGAGGGUUUGAGCAGAGAUGGGACAUGGUCUGGUUUACAUUUUAUCAGGAUAAUCUGUCUGAGGACAGGUUGGUGGGGGAGACAAGGGCUGGGGCAGAGUGACUGGCAGGGAGGCUACUGCAGUGGUCCAAGCUGGAGAUGAUGGUGGCUUGAACCAAAGGGUAGCCACAUGGCUGUACUCUUGAUCUAUUUUGGAGGUAGAGCUGGCAGGGUUUGCUAAGAAUGAUGAUGUCACCCCAGGGCUGUCAAAGAUCCACCGAGUGCCAGCUGUGUUCCUGCUACUAAUUUGUGAUCCUCCCAACACCCUAUGAGGUGGGUAAGACACAGGUUCAAUGCGUUCCUUAGCGAUCACAGCUCGUGAGGGGCAGAGUCAGGACUUGAACUUGGAUAGAGGCUACACGCGUGACCACCUUGCUGUGCUGUGCAGUGUAUUUGGGAUAAAAAAGGGUAAAGUCCUGUCUCCCUCCUGGUCAGCCUUCCCUACAAUAGCCAUUCCCUUUCCAGAGAAGUCACAGCAAGCUGUCUAAAACCCUGCUGCCUCCAUUCCUGAAUCUCACUGUUUCCUCCCCAAACCUCGGCCCUUUCAUCGGCCGACACCAUCCUCCGUGCCCCCGGCCUAAGCUCCCUGCCCACCCCGUGCAGCCAAACUCUCCACCCAGGUCACAGAGCUAAGAAAUGUAGUAAGCCUGGAUCUUCGCAGUGAUAAUCAAAAUAGUAACCAAUAUAGCAAAAUAAAUUUUAAAAUAAAUUUGGUUUCAUUUUCUAAGUAAACUCCAAGAAAAAAUGCUUUUUAACUGAAAGAAAUGUAAGCUGAAGCACCAGUCACUUAUAUUAUUUCAGUAACGUGUUGAGUGAUCUGUCAGUUUUUAAACGUUGGUGGCAUCGUCUGUCGUUCGGCACAGCUGUCACUGCCUAAGCAGUGCUCCUAUCUGAGCCAUGAUGGACAUGGGGAGUCCCAUCCACCGCUUCCAACCACCUCUCGAUUAAAUUAAUGGCCAUUAGGGCCCUGGCACCGAGCGCUUGUCACAUACCAGGACAGAUGGCCAUGCUACCUGCCCAUCUUGGCCAACUGCACACAGGAAUCCCACCUGACAACCACCAACGGCAACCCUCGGGCCCCCACCCCGCAGUGUACAAAUAGCCAGGCUCUGUAGCAGCAAACUGCAGAAAGAUUCUCUUUACCCUAAUAAGUACAACCUAUUCUCGUUAUUCACAGUUGUUAUGUUCUAUAAAGUCACUGCAAACACUGAAUUAGCAAACACUGAGCCACCGCUCCCCUGGGAAGCAACAGGGUGAGGUCCCCAUGAGCCUGUGGUCAACAAUAUUUUCAUGAACUGAUCAAUACGUACCCUUGUUUUAUGUGUGUUUCUGUUUAAAGGCACUUUAUUUACUAUACAUUGUUGGUUCAUUAGCAUUGAACUCACGGCCAGCAGCGCUGCAACUCGUGCCUCAGCCACGCUGGUCUAACCCACCCUUCUCUGCAAGGCACAGCCCAGCCUUCCGCACUCAGGAACACCAGGCGGCACUGCAUUGCACUCGUGGGGCCCAUUUUAAACAGCAAAAUCGCCAAUAAAAGCUGCAAGAUCAAUCUUCUUCUGCCUUCAGACUCAGACUCAGACUGGAACUUACGCUGCCAGCUCUCUGGGUUCUCCAGCUUGCCAACUGUGACAUUGGACUUCUCAGACUCCACUGAGAUAACACACGGCACGUGUUAUCACUUAGGCAAAUCAGUUAGCUCCUCCAGAUAGUCACAUGAGCCAGUUCUUUACAGUAAAUCUCUCUCUCUCGCUCUCUCUGUCUUGCUCUCUUAUAUAUAUAUAUAUGCACACA
Non-coding RNA from Microcebus murinus (gray mouse lemur), 7532 nucleotides. NCBI's taxonomy places the organism in Eukaryota, Metazoa, Chordata, Mammalia, Primates, Cheirogaleidae. The record is from RefSeq and is a predicted model, not a curated record.